UUCCUCAUGGUCUAGUGGUUAGGAUUCAGCAUUUGCACUGCUGCAGCCUGGGUUUGAUUUCUGGUUUGGGAA
This 72-nucleotide transfer RNA is filed under the name Sus scrofa (pig). It matches the Rfam family "tRNA". From Rfam's summary of the family: Transfer RNA (tRNA) molecules are approximately 80 nucleotides in length. Their secondary structure includes four short double-helical elements and three loops (D, anti-codon, and T loops). Further hydrogen bonds mediate the characteristic L-shaped molecular structure. tRNAs have two regions of fundamental functional importance: the anti-codon, which is responsible for specific mRNA codon recognition, and the 3' end, to which the tRNAs corresponding amino acid is attached (by aminoacyl-tRNA synthetases). tRNAs cope with the degeneracy of the genetic code in two manners: having more than one tRNA (with a specific anti-codon) for a particular amino acid; and 'wobble' base-pairing, i.e. permitting non-standard base-pairing at the 3rd anti-codon position. The record is from Rfam by way of RNAcentral. Lineage: Eukaryota; Metazoa; Chordata; Mammalia; Artiodactyla; Suidae.